UACGUAGGGUGCGAGCGUUAAUCGGAAUUACUGGGCGUAAAGUGUGCGCAGGCGGCCGCGCAAGUCGAGUGUGAAAUCCCCGAGCUUAACUUGGGAAUUGCGCUCGAAACUACGUGGCUGGAGUGUGGCAGAGGAAGGUGGAAUUCCUGGUGUAGCGGUGAAAUGCGCAGAUAUCAGGAAGAACACCCGUGGCGAAGGCGGCUCUCUGGGACGGUACUGACGCUGAGACGCGAAAGCGUGGGGAGCGAACAGG
RNAcentral lists this ribosomal RNA (253 nucleotides) under uncultured bacterium. RNAcentral's name for it is "partial 16S ribosomal RNA". It matches the Rfam family "Bacterial small subunit ribosomal RNA", at positions 524 to 776 of the family's 1533-position model. The record is from RNAcentral.